This is a non-coding RNA of Triticum aestivum (bread wheat), 115 nucleotides long. Lineage: Eukaryota; Viridiplantae; Streptophyta; Magnoliopsida; Poales; Poaceae. The record is from Rfam.
UAAGUACUCCCUCCGUUCGGAAUUACUUGUCACAAAAAUGGAUGUAUCUAGACGUAUUUUAGUUCUAUCUACAUCCAUUUCCGAGACAAGUAAUUCCGAACGGAGGGAGUACUUA